Molecule: long non-coding RNA, 862 nt
Organism: Rhagoletis zephyria (snowberry fruit fly)
Lineage: Eukaryota; Metazoa; Arthropoda; Insecta; Diptera; Tephritidae
Source: RefSeq, a predicted model, not a curated record
UUGCGAGAAACGAGAAAAUUUAUAAAAAUUAAACAAAUCUAUAAAGUGUUAAGGAGCUGUGGAUUUUACUCAACGAUUUGUUAUUAUUAUUUUAAUUUUGGCAUUCUUUGUCGAAUUGCAUUGUCUCGCAGUUCGCGUGUUAAUUUUUUUGCCUUUCUUUUCCUGCGCAACAACGACGACGUGCCCGUGAGCUGUGCGUAGUGAUUUAUGCGAAAUUUGUUUGUGUGUGAAGCAGCAGCAGACAGCCGCUUUUGUGCGAAAGUUGUUUGUCAGUUGGCGUAUGAAUUGCUCGAUUGAGUGUAAACAAAAAGGAAUUUUUAAAAAAAGAAAUAUUGUACAAAAAAAUUUACUUAAAAUUUUGUGAAUAUUAUUGUUGCUAUUGAAUUCGAGUGCGAACAACGUAUCAUACCAAAAGACGCGUACGGUGAGUUAAAAAGAGAAAAGAGCGAAAUUACAAUUACAAAAAGCCGGAAAGCGUUGUACAUUCUUUGUGACUGACUGCUGUUGCUUUUUGCUGUCUGUGACGCGAAUUUGUGGGAGAAAACGUGCAAAGCGGCUUGCGGAAAAGCGGCCCAAAACAAAAAGCCCAAAAACUUAACAACUCAACAUUUCAAUUGCAAGAUUCCUAAAACUGCAUUUUUUCUGCGGAAUAUCAACUAAAAAGCACAAAAACAGCGAAAAUUUCACUCGACAUAAAAAAUUUAUUUUGCAAAUCACUAGCAAAAAUAUUGCUAUAAGUAAUGAAAGUAAGAAAAGAAAAUUCAUAUACCAAACUAAUAAAUAUCGUGAUUGUGCAAAAAGGCGACUGAGAGUGACCAACACAAAAAUCAAGUUACCGCGUCUUCAAAAAAGGAAAAAAAAA